AACUCCAUAAGCUUUAAAACCUAUUUAAUGUAUAAAAGGAGAUGAUGAGAUUUAUAAAUUAUAAAGCCAUAAAAGGAAAAAACAUGGCUCAAUUUUCCAAGCUUUUUUAUGUUAUAAUUAUAUUUCUCUCCCUAUUUCUUGUUGCAAUGAGUGCUGAUCACCAGUUUGAAUGUACUACUGAUCAUGAUUGUAGAGAAGUCGAAUGUUUCUUGGAUACUUUGGUAGCAAAGUGUUUUGUUAGUUUUGUUUUAGGUCGUUUCCUCUCAAAAGGCAUAUGUUCAUGUGUUUAAGUGAUGUGCCCAAUUGAUUCUAUUAUAAUAGUAUGUCAUAAGCUAUCAUUUAUUUAUUGUAUUGGUGUUGAAGUUGAUUGUUCUUAUUGGAAUAUGAAUAUCUUUUAACAUUAAUUAUCAACAAA
Long non-coding RNA from Medicago truncatula (barrel medic), 415 nucleotides. RefSeq lists it as uncharacterized. Lineage: Eukaryota; Viridiplantae; Streptophyta; Magnoliopsida; Fabales; Fabaceae. The transcript is spliced from 2 exons. The record is from RefSeq and is a predicted model, not a curated record.